This 608-nucleotide ribosomal RNA is filed under the name uncultured bacterium. RNAcentral's name for it is "bacterial SSU rRNA". The stretch from base 1 to 541 matches the Rfam family "Bacterial small subunit ribosomal RNA", at positions 338 to 873 of the family's 1533-position model. The record is from RNAcentral.
CCUACGGGAGGCAGCAGUGGGGAAUUUUGGACAAUGGGCGCAAGCCUGAUCCAGCAAUGCCGCGUGCAGGAUGAAGGCCUUCGGGUUGUAAACUGCUUUUGUACGGAACGAAACGGUCUGCUCUAAUACAGUGGGCUAAUGACGGUACCGUAAGAAUAAGCACCGGCUAACUACGUGCCAGCAGCCGCGGUAAUACGUAGGGUGCGAGCGUUAAUCGGAAUUACUGGGCGUAAAGCGUGCGCAGGCGGUUAUAUAAGACAGAUGUGAAAUCCCCGGGCUCAACCUGGGACCUGCAUUUGUGACUGUAUAGCUAGAGUGCGGCAGAGGGGGAUGGAAUUCCGCGUGUAGCAGUGAAAUGCGUAGAUAUGCGGAGGAACACCGAUGGCGAAGGCAAUCCCCUGGGCCUGCACUGACGCUCAUGCAUGAAAGCGUGGGGAGCAAACAGGAUUAGAUACCCUGGUAGUCCACGCCCUAAACGAUGUCAACUGGUUNUUGGGUCUUCACUGACUCAGUAACGAAGCUAACGCGUGAAGUUGCCGCCUGGGGNGACGCGCGAGUAGACGAGAGAGUAGAGNGNGAGAGNGCGACGGACGACGACGAGGGAGAGG